AGAUGGCUCCUCCCAUCUGGCUAGAUUGGAGGCUCUUUACAAAGCUUGUCUCAACCGGCUGGGGACAAGGCUUCCUGGUCCUGGUCAGACCCAUGAGCAAUUACAAACUGGCUGCAGGUCCUCCCAGGAGGUGUCCCUAUGCCUGGUCAGUGGGCCAUGAGGGCUCCUUUACCUCUGAGGCCUCACCUGGCUUUCUCUUUGCAGGAAAAAAUAAAAGCCAGCCCGUUGUGUUGAUGGGUAUGUCUUUGACCACAAGGAAGCCACUUACCAGCUUCUCUGCAUAGAUGCAGCAAUCGCUACUCCUUCCCCCCAGGUGUCUAAAAACAGGAAUCCAACAAUAAAAGCCUUGCAAUUC
This 355-nucleotide long non-coding RNA is filed under the name Rattus norvegicus (Norway rat). RNAcentral's name for it is "long non-coding RNA NONRATT000598". The record is from RNAcentral. Lineage: Eukaryota; Metazoa; Chordata; Mammalia; Rodentia; Muridae.